This 466-nucleotide ribosomal RNA is filed under the name uncultured bacterium. RNAcentral's name for it is "partial 16S ribosomal RNA". It matches the Rfam family "Bacterial small subunit ribosomal RNA", at positions 28 to 507 of the family's 1533-position model. The record is from RNAcentral.
GAUGAACGCUGGCGGCGUGCUUAACACAUGCAAGUCGAACGGAAAGGCCCAAGCUUGCUUGGGUACUCGAGUGGCGAACGGGUGAGUAACACGUGGGUGAUCUGCCCCGCACUUCGGGAUAAGCCUGGGAAACUGGGUCUAAUACCGGAUAGGACCACUUCUUGGAGGUUGUGGUGGAAAGUUUUUUCGGUGUGGGAUGAGCUCGCGGCCUAUCAGCUUGUUGGUGGGGUAAUGGCCUACCAAGGCGUCGACGGGUAGCCGGCCUGAGAGGGUGUACGGUCACAUUGGGACUGAGAUACGGCCCAGACUCCUACGGGAGGCAGCAGUGGGGAAUAUUGCACAAUGGGCGCAAGCCUGAUGCAGCGACGCCGCGUGGGGGAUGACGGCCUUCGGGUUGUAAACUCCUUUCGCUAGGGACGAAGCGCAAGUGACGGUACCUAGAGAAGAAGCACCGGCUAACUACGUG